GAUGAACGCUGGCGGCGUGCCUAACACAUGCAAGUCGAACGUGAAAGGUGAGACAAAUACUUCGGUAGAUGGAUUGCCUGGAAAGUGGCGAACGGGUGAGUAACACGUAGGUAACCUGCCUCGGAGUGGGGGAUAACCAUUGGAAACGAUGGCUAAUACCGCAUGUGUCCACGGUAACGGGAGUUAGCGUGGGCAAAGUUCAGGCGCUUCGAGAGGGGCCUGCGUCCGAUUAGCUAGUUGGUGAGGUAAAGGCUCACCAAGGCCGAGAUCGGUAGCUGGUCUGAGAGGACGAUCAGUCACACGGGAACUGAGACACGGUCCCGACACCUACGGGUGGCAG
This 340-nucleotide ribosomal RNA is filed under the name uncultured Chloroflexota bacterium. RNAcentral's name for it is "bacterial SSU rRNA". It matches the Rfam family "Bacterial small subunit ribosomal RNA", at positions 28 to 351 of the family's 1533-position model. The record is from RNAcentral. Lineage: Bacteria; Bacillati; Chloroflexota.